ACUGAGAACGUUUCAAAGAGAGGGGUAAGCUGAGUUCUACUCAUAAAAAAGAAGGGAAAUAUAGCUACCUUGUUGUUGCAGUUUUAUGAAGAGAUGGAUAUGAUGAAUAGCGGCAGAAACAAAAUCAGUUACAAGUCAUUGGUUGUGGUUCUUGUGUUCUGCUGUACCUUGAAAGCCGCCGAUAUCUCGGCGGCGUCAAGCAACAUGAUCUCCCAAGGACAAUCUAUUUCCGGCAACCAUACAAUCACCUCAUCACCACGCGGCAUAUUCGAGCUAGGUUUCUUCACUCCAGGUAACUCCAACAACUACUACAUAGGCAUCUGGUACAAAAAUGUACAGGAAACUGUCGUUUGGGUGGCCAACAGAAACCACCCUGUUUCCGAUCCUUUUUUAUCAUCCCUUCAACUCUUCCCAAACGGAACCUUAGCACUUUUCGACCAGUCCAAAUCUGCCAUUUGGUCAACAACUCGUGAUCUCUCAAUUGCUUCCAAUUCUACUAGUCAAGUAGCAGCAAUACUUCUUGACAGCGGCAACUUUGUCAUAACAGAUGCUUUGAAUUCGUCUGCUGUCAUAUGGCAGAGUUUCGAUCACCCGACGGACACUUGGCUGCCGGGCGGGAAGCUUGGAUACAACAAGCUGACCAAUGAGAAACUAACCCUCACUCCCUGGAGAAGCUCACAAAACCCAGCACCUGGGAUUUUCUCUCUAGACCUCGAACAAAACGGGACGAGUUUGUUGCUGAUGUAUAAUGGGACUAGAAUGUAUUGGACAACUGGUCCUUGGACAGGCAAGAUUUUUACGAAAGUUCCUGAAAUUCAGUUGAAUUAUUUGAUCACGAAUAUCAGCUAUGUUUCCAAUGAGCUGGGGAGUUAUUUUUCUUAUUUGAUUGCCCAACCACGUGCUAAAAGAGUUAUAAUUACAUUUGGACAACCUAUUGAACGUCCUUUAAAUCAACGAUCAAUUAUUAUGGAAGGAUACAAUUAUAUACAUAAAAUAUUGAAAGAGGACCGUCCAGAGGAUUUCCGAGAAAGGUAUAGAAUGUAUUCUGAUGUGUUUGUGAAGUUAUGCACUAUUAUUAGGGAAAAAAACACUCUUACGAGAUACAAAAUUCAUUUGCAUAGAAGAAAUGCUUGCAACAUUUUUGCUUAUUGUUGGACAUAAUAGUAGAUAUUGUCUACUACGUGAUACGUUUGGGCGAUCACAUUGGACUGUCAAUAGAAAAAUUUUAACAAAGUUUUUGAAGACCUUGAACACCAAUAGCACCGGAGAUGAUGGCCAAACAUGGAUUAGCAGUGCCAUCUAAAAUCAAGGAAAGUAUGAUAUUUUACCCUUACUUGAAGGUACGUAUAGUGUGUCCUUUUUUUAUUUUUUUAUUUUGUAUCUUUCUAAUUUAUUCCAAAUGAUAAACUUAACACUCUUGUAGGAUUGUAUUUGAAACUAUUGAUGGCACACAUAUCCCAACAUCAGUGUCCGGAUACGAUGUAAGCAAUUAUCUUAAUUGUAAGGGUGUCAUAUCACAAUAUGUAUUAGCUGCUUGUAACUUUGAUUUGGAAUUCAUGUAUGUCCUUAAUGGGUGGAAGGAUCGGCUCAUGAUUCAAGAGUACUAAAUGAUGCUUUUGACAAGAAGGAAUGGACUUAAAGUGUCACAAGGUAUCAAAUUAUUAUUUAUCAUUUUUAUUAUUAUUUAAUUUCACAUUAAUCCAUUGAGUUGCAUACUAAAAUAUAUAUUAUCAGGUAAAUAUUUUGUAGUAGAUUGUGGAUUUUCAAAUAGACGUAAGUUCUUAGCUCCUUAUCAAGGAAUCCAAUAUCAUCUCCAAGAGUAUAGUGGUUCGGGUCGUAAGCCUAGAAACGAAAAAGAGUUGUUCAAUCUUCGUCAUGCUUCUUUUAAGAAAUGUCAUCAAGAGGAUAUUUGGUAUUUAAAAUCAUGAUUCUUGAUUUUAAGGAUUGCACUUGCAUUUCCAUAUGCAACACAAGCGGAGGUAAUAUUAGUUUGUGCAGUUUAUGAAUCUUCUUCGUCUCCACCAUUGUCAGUUUAUGAAGGGGAUCUUGACCAAGAUUUUCAAACACAAGAACAACAACGAAAUAUUGCUAAUGAAUGGAGAUAUAAUAUAGCUUUGGACAUGUGGAGAGAUGCCCAUAAUGAUAACAAUGUGAAUGGAGGAUAAUGAGUCACAAAUAAUUCUUAGUGUGGUAGUGAUGAAUUUCUGAUGAUGUUCUUGUAAUGUUAGGUUUUGUGGUUGCGUUCGAGAAAGCAAAAAAAGAAAGAAGAAAAUAUUACUUGUAAUGAUGAAUUUCUGAUUAAUAUAAGGUUUUGUGGUUGUGUUUGAAACUUGGAAUUUGGAAUUUCAUCUAAUUGCUUAGCUACUAUGAUUACAUUAUUCUUCUGUGUAUUUGAGCUCAUGAUUGUGCUUGCUAACACUUCAAAUUUAUUGUUAAUGGAUCUCCUUUGAUUCAAAACGUUUAUGUUUCUGUGUGCAUUAUUUCAUUUUAUGUUAUAAGAUUGAACUAAUAAAUCCUAAGAAAUCCACGAAAGAAAUCCAUACAAAUCCAUAGAAAUCUAUAAUAGAAAUUCAUAUAAAUAUGUCGAAAUUCCAUAUAAAAAUUGAGAAUAUUUUAAAAUCCUUUAAAAUCUGUCACUUAAAAAAAGUCUAUUAAAAUCUUAUGAAAUCCAAAUCGACUACACCCUAUCCCUCUGCCUCAGAUUGUUGUUGAUUCUCAUCCCCAUCCUUACCGCAUUUGUGGACUUCAAGUCUAUGGUGGUUCUUUUCCUUGAUUGAUUGAGAAAUGACGUAGGUUGGCUCAAGUACGAAACUCAAAUCCCAUCUUCUACAUAUGUCUUGUCGAGGCUUGUUCUUUGCCUAUUCCUUACUUGUUUAUAAUGGUGGCAGCGGGUUCUUGUGAUAGAGGAGUAGUCAGGGUUUCUAGAGUUUGUUCUUUUGUUUUUUUUUUUUUUUUGAAGAAACUGGAAUCGAUUAACCAGGGCACAGAAGCCACAAGAACAACAGAAGCCUACCCAGAGGCAAACAGCAGAGGAAACCUGGUAAUGCAAGGGGAUGAGAGACACAGACGCAACAAAACAACAAACCAGCGUCCCCCCUCCCAUUACCAAGCAAACUCAGGGAGGACAAGGGAGUCCAUCAUUACAUAAAACAUGAACCAAGGAAGAUGGAGGCCUAUUGACCCAAGUAAAAUCACACAUCUCCCUAUUUCUUUGUUCUUUUGUUUUGGGCUUAAAUCCUUGUAUUGGCUCUUAAUUUGUUGCUUGGCUGGUUCACAUCUUUGAUUAUUACUUCACUUUGUAAAUGGACCAAUUGAUUUACCUUUGUUUACGACAAUAAAUUACCAUUUCCUUCUAACAAAAAAAAAAAAAAAAAAACAAAAACAAAAAAAAAAACAGUUUCUUCAAUUAUACCGAUUGAAACCUCUUACCCUCGAUCUGGUUUUUUUACCAUUCAAUAGCUACAUAACCCUUGUGGCUGCAAUCAUUGGAGUCUUCGUGACUAGAUUAUUGUUUUUGGUUGCAAUCUUUGUACCAUUGAGUGGGAAUUUGGGUGUGUUUUUUGAGUCCUAACUUAUAUAAUAAACACCAAAACAAAACGUAUAGUGCGUACCAACACCCAACUCCCAUGGUUGCUGUGUCGGCUUUGAUCUUAAAUGGUCUUGUCCUCCACCUGGGCUCAAACUUAAUGUGGAUGGAGCCUGGUGCAAGGAGAACUAAUCUGGGUGGUGUGGGGUUGAUAUUUCGGGAUGCAAAUGGAACUUGUGUGGCUGUUGCGAGUAGGAGAUUUGGGGAUAUCUUCUCUUCUAUUUACAUUGAAGCACUUGCAACUAGAGAGAGGGUCUUUUGAUGGUGUUCAAAAGGGAUUUACAAAACAUUUCGUUGGAAGGUCAUUCGCUUUAGAUCAUUUCUGCAUUAAAGGAGUCUUCUACGAAUAUGUCUACUACCGGACCUAUCAUUGAAUAUGCCAAAUCCUUAUUGUACUUGGUCAUUGAAGCUACUGCGUCCCAUGUUUCAUCAUCAAGUUGACUAUGUUGCCCAUAGGCUUGCUCGUUUUGCCCUCUAUGGAAGUGAUUGUACUUGGUUUGAUGAAACCCCCUCAUUGAUUUGUGAUUUAAUUGAGGAGUAUUGCUCCAUCCCUUGUACUGAGUAGCCUAUUCCUGAAUUUUUAAUGAAAUCCUAAUGUAUUUUAUCCACACAAAAAAAAAAAAAAUUAGGAUUCAUUUUCAACACAACAAUUUGAUAAGCUUGCUAGGGUUGAAAACAAAUAAGUGUUCAUACAAAUUUCACAUUCAUCAUCAUUAUUGUAAUUUAAUUCGCUAUUCAAUCAAGUGACUACUGACUUUUCAUGUUUCUGGGUCUAUCAACGCGUAUGACAACAAAUCUAUAGGAGCAUUAGAAAUCGUGGUUUCCUUGUGGCAUAUCCAACAACUGUCUCCUUAUCUUUCUCGUCCCGCCCAAGAAAAUCCAGUGCCUUCACAUUGACUAGUUACAACUUUUCAUGACUCACCAUCUUUCCAUGCAAGUUUUCAAAGAAGCUAAACAAAAAGUCUAUGAACUUUAGCCCAAUUAUAGCCUUAGUCUUUGUGCUAAAUAUAUGUAUGCAUGUAUUGAUCUUUGAACUUGUUAUAAUGUGAAGUAAUAGUCAUUUUUACUAAUUACGUUAAAAUUUUUCAUCCAAUUUUUGUCGUUUUAACCCUUUAUUUUGAAUGAAAGUUGUAACGGAGUUUUGCUAAAAGAAAUAUUGUUCCACAUUAUAACAAGUUCAGGAAUCAAUACUCACGAAAUUUUUAGUUCAGGAAACCAAAGCUCCAAUUGAGCUAAAGUUGAGGACCAUUGCUACAAUUACCUUGAGAUAGUUUGACAGCACGUCACAUUUUCUUGUGGUCUCCUAAACCCAGGUUAAAUCAACCAACAAAAGGGACGUACGCCGAGGGAAUCCCAUGUCAAGCACUCCAGGUAAAAUCUGUAACAAUAUAUAUGCAUUGGGCUAGCAUAUACAUGCCUAUUUGAGCCUUCUUCCAAACAACAACAUUUUUUUUGUCAAACGAUAAAUUUAGUUGAAAAUGACUUGUNUUUUAUUGAGUAAAUUUCUUUUUCUUUUAUAUUUUGUUGUCAAAUAUUAGGGUAAAUCCUAAUUCCUUGCGUUGAAACUCCAUGUGCAUAAAGGACCGUAGAUGCAUGGUUGUCUAAUGGUAAAAUACAACGAGGGCCGAGUUGUGUUUUGAUUAUUAACCCAUAAAUAGAAUUCGAAGAGAAGGAGAAGGAGGACUAAGAAUCAAAUUCUUGUUGAAGUUCUAUACUAAAUUUGUUGAGAUAGAAGUAAAAAUGAGGCAGAUACAAUAUGAGUUGUUUACUGACCUGAGAUCUAAACAAAAUAAAUUCGAAUGGUAUGGCCAAACACUGUAGGCGUGAGAGUUUUUUUUUUUUUUUUUAAACAAAAAAUUAUCAUGGCAAUUGUGAAUUACUUUGGUGGUUAGAAAAUUGCUAUUUUACUCUCUACAUUCCAAAUUCAAAAAACACUCUGAUUCCCUUACUAUAUAUAAGUGCAAAAUAUCGACUGUGACAAAACAAAUCGAUAUAAUUCACUUAAUACAAAUCCUUUUUCUUUUUCUUUUUUGUUGAGGAAAUCCUAUUUAAUUUUCGGAAAAAUUUUCACAUAAACUUCUUGUACUUGCGUCGAGUUGAUUAAAGCCAAGUACUUGCGUCGAGUUCAUUUCUUUUUGGCCAAAAUUAAGUCAAAUACUUCUUCAGCUUGGAAAGGUAUUUUGAGCUCUAUAGAUCUUCUUUUGAAAGGUUUGAUAUCAGGAACGAAGCCAAAAAUUUAACUAAGAGGGGGCACCUUAAAAAAUUUGAGCUCCUUUUUUAGACAAAUAAAGCUAGUUCUUUUACAAAUGUUGAAAAAAUUAAUUACAAAAUGCCUAAUUUUAUUACUCUAUUGUCUAAAUUUUUUUUUAAUUGUUGACAAUCUAAUGCUCAUUUGUACUAAUUAACCAAAUACAUGCAACUCAACAAGGUUUAAACAUUAGUGGGUCAAAAAAAUAUCCAAGACAGAGUGGCAUUUAAAAACUAAAAGAGGAUUUUCAUUAUUUUAAUAUGAUUAAUUGAAUAAUCUACAAAGCAUAAAAAAUGGGAAUGAUUAAUUGAAUAAUUUGUAAUGAAAAAAAAAAAAAAGGAUGAGAGGGGGCAUGUGCCCCCACUGGGCCUUACCUCCAUCCGUCCAUGUUUGAAUGGUUUGUUGGCAACGGCAAAGAUAUUUUAUUUGGGUCUUUUAAUUAUGUUUUCCCAAUCUUUCUUUGAGAAAUGCUAAGAAAACUCUCAAAGUGGGACAUUGUCCGUUAACCCAUCUUUUUGGCACAAUAUUUUAUAAUGUUGUUACGAGAAUUAUGUAAAAAGAUAAGGUGGUCGAGAGUCCAUGGAGAGUCACACGUUUAAAAGUCUCCUUAGCAUUUCUCUUCUUUCUUUGAGAAAUUUUAAGGAGACUCUCCAAUCUCUAUGAAUUCUCGAUCAUCUCAUAUUUUAGCACAAUUUUUAUAUCAAUAUUAUAAAAUAUUGUGUCAAAAACAUGGGGUGUCAGAGAUUCCAUGGUGAAUCCCACUUUGAGAACCUCCAUAGCAUUUCCCUCUUUCUAAUUUAUUAACUGAUACUCAACGUUAAAGUAUUAAAUGGUCUCUUACCGUGAAUCAAGUAAUUAGCAACGGUUGUUUUUUCGAACAAGCAUUAAUUGGCCUAUUACCGUGAAUCAAGUAUUAAUUGGUCUCUUACCAUGAAUCAAGUAAUUAGCAAUGUUUGUUGGAAUAAGGAAAUUUUGCAGGGUCUGCUUCCCAUGGUUAUUGUCAAAAGAAUGGGGAGGGGGAAUCAAUCACCACCCUUCAUCCUGGACUGUAGCCUAACAUUGUCUUUGAAAAACCGUUGACCUCCUAACUAGUCCAUAAUGCAUCACGGUACACGUCAUAUGCCCUGAGCAAUUCCUACCAAAACACUUUGUGUGGUUUGAUUCUAGAAUGAGACUCCUUCUAGAAUUUGUCCUUGUAAUUAGAAUUGUUAAUAUUAUAAAUUAUUAUAUAAAAAGGUGAAAUAUAAAAAGAAAAAUAUGAUAGUUUUUUAUCAUCGAACAAUAUAAAUUCAUAUAAGUGAAAAUCAAUAAAAAAAUUACAAUUGUUAUUUAUUUUUUAUUCUUGAUUGAUUAAGGGACCUUAGUGUUAACUAAUUUUGCAAAAUAUAUCAUCGAACGAUAUAAAUUCAUAUAAUAUGAAUAAUUUCGUUUAUAAAAAAUAAAAUUUUGUAAAUUAAUCACAAAAUAAUUUCGUUUAUAAAAAUAAAAUGAAUAGUACCAGGAUUGACUUUUUAGUGUAAAAAUAUGAUUUUUCGUUAAAGUGAACAGUAUCGGAUGCUUUUCGUUAAAGUUCCCAUUUCUUAAAGGGCAAAGCAUUCCUCAUAUUUUAGCUCCUCUUUGUUGGUAAAUAUAGAAUACGGACACGCAUACACUGAGAACGUUUCAAAGAGAGGGGUAAGCUGAGUUCUACUCAUAAAAAAGAAGGGAAAUAUAGCUACCUUGUUGUUGCAGUUUUAUGAAGAGAUGGAUAUGAUGAAUAGCGGCAGAAACAAAAUCAGUUACAAGUCAUUGGUUGUGGUUCUUGUGUUCUGCUGUACCUUGAAAGCCGCCGAUAUCUCGGCGGCGUCAAGCAACAUGAUCUCCCAAGGACAAUCUAUUUCCGGCAACCAUACAAUCACCUCAUCACCACGCGGCAUAUUCGAGCUAGGUUUCUUCACUCCAGGUAACUCCA
RNAcentral lists this long non-coding RNA (7785 nucleotides) under Malus domestica (apple). Its description in RNAcentral is "long non-coding RNA (MDOM_LNC008653)". The record is from RNAcentral. Lineage: Eukaryota; Viridiplantae; Streptophyta; Magnoliopsida; Rosales; Rosaceae.